Molecule: transfer RNA, 67 nt
Filed under: Ornebius kanetataki
Lineage: Eukaryota; Metazoa; Arthropoda; Insecta; Orthoptera; Mogoplistidae
Description: tRNA-Asp
Source: RNAcentral
AAAAAAUUAGUUAAAUUUAUAACAUUAACUUGUCAAGUUAACAUUAUCUAUUAUUAGAUAUUUUUUG